Molecule: ribosomal RNA, 766 nt
Filed under: uncultured bacterium
Lineage: Bacteria
Description: bacterial SSU rRNA
Rfam family: Bacterial small subunit ribosomal RNA
Source: RNAcentral
ACGCGUAGGAAUCUACCUAGUAGAAGGGGAUAGCCCGGGGAAACCCGGAUUAAUACCGUAUACCUCCUUCGGGAGAAAGAAGGCCUCUCUUUGAAGCUUUCGCUACUAGAUGAGCCUGCGUAAGAUUAGCUUGUUGGUGAGGUAAAGGCUCACCAAGGCGACGAUCUUUAGCUGGUCUGAGAGGACGAUCAGCCACAUUGGGACUGAGACACGGCCCAGACUCCUACGGGAGGCAGCAGUGGGGAAUAUUGGACAAUGGGCGCAAGCCUGAUCCAGCCAUACCGCGUGUGUGAAGAAGGCCUUCGGGUUGUAAAGCACUUUAAGCAGGGAGAAAAAGUUAUAAGUUAAUACCUUAUAACCCUGAUGUUACCUGCAGAAUAAGCACCGGCUAAUUCCGUGCCAGCAGCCGCGGUAAUACGGAAGGUGCAAGCGUUAAUCGGAAUUACUGGGCGUAAAGCGCGCGUAGGUGGUUUGUUAAGUUGGAUGUGAAAGCCCUGGGCUCAACCUAGGAACUGCAUCCAAAACUAACUCACUAGAGUACGAUAGAGGGAGGUAGAAUUCAUAGUGUAGCGGUGGAAUGCGUAGAUAUUAUGAAGAAUACCAGUGGCGAAGGCGGCCUCCUGGAUCUGUACUGACACUGAGGUGCGAAAGCGUGGGUAGCGAACAGGAUUAGAUACCCUGGUAGUCCACGCCGUAAACGAUGACAACUAGCUGUUGGGAGACAAUGUCUUUCAGUGGCGCAGCUAACGUUUUAAGUUGUCCGCCU